This is a long non-coding RNA of Chinchilla lanigera (long-tailed chinchilla), 304 nucleotides long. RefSeq lists it as uncharacterized. The transcript is spliced from 3 exons. Lineage: Eukaryota; Metazoa; Chordata; Mammalia; Rodentia; Chinchillidae. The record is from RefSeq and is a predicted model, not a curated record.
ACUGAGGCUUGGAAAGUUACCUAAAUUGUUCCAUAAAGUCAGGUAGAGUGACUUCUGGGAAGAUGGUGCAGAGGCAACAGUGAAAACCAUCAAGAAUCGAUCUAGAGCACAGCACAUACCACAGGUGGGACCAGUAGCCCAGUGAAAUGCAUGCCACAAGUGGGACCAGGAGCACAGAAGUCUGAAGCAGCAGUGAGAAUAUGAGCCAGUGAUUGCUUCUCCUUUGUUUGGGUAUCAUCCAUCAUCUGCUCCCCCCACUCCCUUUCUAUCUUUUGCACUUUCCCUAUCAACAUUUUGAGUCCUA